UGCCAGCAGCCGCGGUAAGACGACCCGUCCAAACGUUAUUCGGAAUCACUGGGCUUAAAGAGUCCGUAGGCGGCUUGGAAGGUGAGGUGUGAAAUCCCACAGCCCAACUGUGGAACUGCGCUUCAAACCACUAAGCUUGAGGGAGUCAGGGGUGAGCGGAACAAGUGGUGGAGCGGUGAAAUGCGUUGAUAUCAUUUGGAACCCGGUGGCGAAGGCGGCUCACUGGGACUCUUCUGACGCUGAGGGACGAAAGCUAGGGUAGCGAACGGGAUUAGAUA
RNAcentral lists this ribosomal RNA (278 nucleotides) under uncultured bacterium. RNAcentral's name for it is "partial 16S ribosomal RNA". It matches the Rfam family "Bacterial small subunit ribosomal RNA", at positions 506 to 784 of the family's 1533-position model. The record is from RNAcentral.